RNAcentral lists this long non-coding RNA (652 nucleotides) under Homo sapiens (human). Its description in RNAcentral is "novel transcript". The record is from RNAcentral. Lineage: Eukaryota; Metazoa; Chordata; Mammalia; Primates; Hominidae.
GAAAGCUUCUGUUUGUAUGUAUAAGGCAAUGUGCAUGCCAGCAUGUCAGUUACAGCAGGAGAGAGGGAACAAGCCAUGUGGGAACUGAUGGAGCCAUGUCACAUCCAGUGUCCUCUGCAGCCGCUAUGGAGUGCCAGGAGGAAUGAGGGGCAAAUGGUAAGAUCUUUAUGACGUGAGAGAAGCCAGGUGCGGAGCAGGGAACAGUCAGGUUUAAUUGGUGUGAAGAACAGGAUCACUGAAAAAUAUUUUCUCAUAGAUAAAACUCUUUUUGUAUAAAAGUCUACAGAAUUGCGAUAGGAAACCCAUAAUCAUGGUUUCAAGUGGGCAGAGAACUAGGCUCUGGCGUCAGGGGAGGAAGGGGAACUGUUCACUGUCAACACCUUUUAGGACGUUUCCAUUGGGAUCGAAGGGUGGCUCACUCUGCCACUUUGACAUAAGAAUCACUUCUACCUAAGGCACUUGAAAAAUGGCACAGGCAAGAGCAUCAUCGGAUCUCUCCUUUUCUUCCUGAAGACAGGAGAUAAAAACGCUCAGGUGAAAGAUGCCUUCCCUGUACCGGGCGAAGAAAGAUUCCUCUACAGGGAAGCACGUCAUAGCCAACAGAAUUCUGUACAGACAUUAAAGUAAUUAAAGUAAUUCCUGUCGUUCUUAA